AUACGGAGGAGUCCAAGCGUUAUCCGGAUUUAUUGGGUUUAAAGGGUGCGUAGGCGGACUUAUAAGUCAGCGGUGAAAGUUUGCAGGCUUAACUGUAAAAUUGCCGUUGAAACUGUUAGUCUUGAGUGUAAAUGAGGUAGGCGGAAUGUGUUGUGUAGCGGUGAAAUGCUUAGAUAUAACACAGAACACCAAUUGCGAAGGCAGCUUACUGGGAUACAACUGACGCUGAGGCACGAAAGCGUGGGGAUC
This 249-nucleotide ribosomal RNA is filed under the name uncultured bacterium. RNAcentral describes it as "partial 16S ribosomal RNA". It matches the Rfam family "Bacterial small subunit ribosomal RNA", at positions 523 to 769 of the family's 1533-position model. The record is from RNAcentral.